UACGAAGGGGGCUAGCGUUGCUCGGAAUCACUGGGCGUAAAGCGCACGUAGGCGGUUUGCUAAGUCAGGGGGGAAAUCCUGGAGCUCAACUCCAGAACUGCCUUUGAUACUGGCGGACUUGAGUCCGGGAGAGGUGAGUGGAACUGCGAGUGUAGAGGUGAAAUUCGUAGAUAUUCGCAAGAACACCAGUGGCGAAGGCGGCUCACUGGCCCGGUACUGACGCUGAGGUGCGAAAGCGUGGGGAGCAAACAGG
This 253-nucleotide ribosomal RNA is filed under the name uncultured bacterium. Its description in RNAcentral is "partial 16S ribosomal RNA". It matches the Rfam family "Bacterial small subunit ribosomal RNA", at positions 524 to 776 of the family's 1533-position model. The record is from RNAcentral.